This 253-nucleotide ribosomal RNA is filed under the name uncultured bacterium. Its description in RNAcentral is "partial 16S ribosomal RNA". It matches the Rfam family "Bacterial small subunit ribosomal RNA", at positions 524 to 776 of the family's 1533-position model. The record is from RNAcentral.
UACGGGGGGAGCAAGCGUUGUUCGGAUUUACUGGGCGUAAAGCGCACGUAGGCGGAUACUUAAGUCAGGGGUGAAAUCCUGGAGCUCAACUCCAGAACUGCCUUUGAUACUGGGUAUCUCGAGUCCGGAAGAGGUGAGUGGAACUCCUAGUGUAGAGGUGGAAUUCGUAGAUAUUAGGAAGAACACCAGUGGCGAAGGCGGCUCACUGGUCCGGUACUGACGCUGAGGUGCGAAAGCGUGGGGAGCAAACAGG